UGAAGUUUACUACCAAUUUUUGAUAUCUUUGUGUCAGAUUCACCUGCAGUUCACUUUGUGUAUAAUGGCAAGUUUACUUUUUAUUUUGGGGGAGUUCGUUUGAUGCGUUCUGUUGUUAUUGAUGUGUGGCUGAUAGAAAGAAAAUAGAAGUUCACUUUUUUUCUAUUGACAAGUUCACUUUUAUAUUUAUAGGAAUUUGGGAAGCACCAGACAACUCUCUAUUUGUUGUCCGGCCGGUGGAGUCCAUUUGAAGUUCAGAUGGAGGAUCCCAGCAUCAAAAGGUGAUUUCAUCCGAGAAGUUCACCGUGCCCCCAUCGGGAGUCCACCGUGCUCAGAGCUCGCGCGUCGCCCCUUCGUACGCCCGAGUCCUACCCCAUUGCUGUGGGAAAAAAUAUCAGGAAGCUCAAUUUAAUAACAUCAGGAAGUUCAUUUUUAACCAAACUGGCAUGCUUGGCCUCCCUCAUGACCAUUCAGGAUCUCCGCCGCCACCUGAACUAAGGUGUAUGUUUCUCUACGAACCGCUGCUGACUAGUUUGUGAACUUGCUCAAUGACCUGCACAACUCUGAACUGCCUGAUGCUAAUUCAGAAUUCUCUGUGUCAGAAAGUUCGCCUUGUGCAUUCUUGAAGUUCAAAUAUAAUCGAACCAUCUUCACUUUUGUUGGACAGUUUACUUGGGACAUAAUGGGAAGCUCAAUUUUCACAUCGUGAAAGUUCAUUUCAUUUUUCUAUGAAACAAAAUAAAUGGUAAUGGUGAGUUCACUUUUGUAAAAGUGAAGUUCACUCCGCAAAUAAAAUGAAGUUCAUUUGAACAAAAAUGCAUAUUGCUGCAAUCUUGUUUUGAUGUAUAAAAGCAUUAUCUAGUAUUUCGUUUGAUCUUAACCAUCUACCACUGUCUACUAUUAUCCUUAUGCUGCCUUUUUUGUUAU
This is a non-coding RNA of Lolium perenne, 927 nucleotides long. NCBI's taxonomy places the organism in Eukaryota, Viridiplantae, Streptophyta, Magnoliopsida, Poales, Poaceae. The record is from RefSeq and is a predicted model, not a curated record.